CCUACGGGGGGCUGCAGUGGGGAAUCUUGCGCAAUGGGCGAAAGCCUGACGCAGCAACGCCGCGUGCGGGAUGACGGCCUUCGGGUUGUAAACCGCUUUCAGCAGGGACGAAAAUGACGGUACCUGCAGAAGAAGCCCCGGCUAACUACGUGCCAGCAGCCGCGGUAAUACGUAGGGGGCAAGCGUUGUCCGGAUUUAUUGGGCGUAAAGAGCUCGUAGGCGGUUCCGUAAGUCGAAAGUCAAAUCUCUGGGCUCAACCCAGGGCCGCUUUCGAUACUGCGGUGACUGGAGUCCGGUAGGGGAGUGUGGAAUUCCUGGUGUAGCGGUGAAAUGCGCAGAUAUCAGGAGGAACACCAACAGCGAAGGCAGCACUCUGGGCCGGUACUGACGCUGAGGAGCGAAAGCGUGGGGAGCGAACAGGAUUAGAUACCCCGGUAGUC
This 440-nucleotide ribosomal RNA is filed under the name uncultured bacterium. RNAcentral describes it as "partial 16S ribosomal RNA". It matches the Rfam family "Bacterial small subunit ribosomal RNA", at positions 338 to 795 of the family's 1533-position model. The record is from RNAcentral.